GGUUAUGGAAUAUUGAGAGAUGGGAUGAGAACCAUGAAUUGCUUGUGGAAUUAUAUUUUCAGAACGGUUGUUUAAGUGAGAUUCCUUUUCUAUUAAAGUGGGAAGUUUUAUCAAAGAAAGAAUGAGGUUUCAAAACAUUUUCUUUUAGAAAUAAUAAUGGGAAUGUAAAAGAGAAUUAUUGGUUUUCAUGCUGAAAUGUGUCAAGAGGAACAUUUUGAGAAACAUACAGUUAUAUGUGUAUACUUUCUAUAUCAAAUGUCACAUUACGUAUAUGGUAUGACUUGAUGCAUUCAUGAUCAUUUUUAUCUAUAUGUUGUGAUUGGUUAGGAUCUUUGGGAUCUCUACUGGGCGUAGUGCUCAUCCCACGUGUUGAUUAACUCUUUCAGGUGCAAGACUAGAAGGAUCGUUUGUGACUUGAAGUCUCUUAUUUGUUGGCCACGGGGCCCCUUUAUUUGUAGGCUGAGUGCCAUGUAUUGUAUAAAGGUAAAUCCUUUUGUUUCAUUUAUUAUUAUUCAAUGUAAGCCUAAGGGCAUCGUACCAUGUCUUAUUUAUAUCAUUAUUACUGUUGUGAGAGAAUGAUAUUAUUUAUUCAUGCUUAUCCUCAAUUAAAUUGAAUUAUUAUAAUGGAUUUGGUAAUGUUAUCCGAGUAAUAAAAGGUGGGCGUGACAAUUGCGAUGCCUAGAUCUUGGAUGAACCUUAGAGGUACGACCCUAUUUCUUAUCUCUUCUAAUGUGGAAGGACUUUUAUGGCCCAACAGCUUUGAUAUAUGCACCUUAAAGAUUUAUUUUAUUUUCAUUUUUUGGCUUCUUCUUUCCAUUUUUUUUCUUUUCAAAAAUCUGACUAUGGAGUUGCCAAUUCACACAUGUCAUGUUUGAAUCAAGCUUGGAUUCUUAAAUUGCUUAAAGGAUUUCCUAUGGCCUAUGUUUUUGGUUGAAGAGAAGUGAAAAGGGAAGGGGGAAUUAAACACCCUAACUAUGUUUAUGCCCUAUUUUUUUCUUUCCUAUGUUUGUAUGGUACAUUGAGUUACCGAAGAGUUGGUUGGUCUUUAUAUCUCAAACCUUCUUGUUUUAACCUCUAACAUAGCAAAUAAAAUUGACAUGAAACAAUUUUAUCAUGGAUAGCACAUGCACUAUGAUAUUUUUUUUUCUGGUUCUUUUCAUCUUUUAUAUCCUUUUUCUUUGAACCAGAGUAGAGCAUACAAAAUAACAUACUCAUGUUUUGUGGGUAUAGCUUUAAUUUUUGUUAGAAAGCAUAGUGCUUCAAGAUUUUAUAUGGAGGAAUACUUGCCAACAAUUUGUCAUAACCCCUCUCUUGGUAAAUGCUAAGAAGUUUAUCUCCUAAGGAUAUGCCACUCUACUUCAAAGAAGGUUAUCACCUCUUGAUCCAGUCACAUGAAUUAAUUUAUCAAUAUGGAGGAGUAGAAGACCCCACUUUAGAUGAUGAAGAAUGGUCGCAAAUAUCUGAAAUGCACUCAAGGUAAAGUGACAUUUUGUUUUUACAUGCUUCAUGUCAUACUAGAGGUAAUGUUAAGACAUUUGAAGGGGCGUGAUCAGUCGGACUUUAUCUUUUGUAAGAAUAAAACAAUCUCUACAAAUAGUUAGUUUCUUCAUAGCGGUUUCUGAAUUAAUUUGUGAUUUCAUUUUUCAGGUUAGAAAUUUUUUGUAGAGAUGCAAAAUAUGGUCAAAGAAUUCAAGAACUUAGUUUUUCAAGUUUUUUCAUUUUUUAAUAUA
Camellia sinensis is the source of this 1730-nucleotide non-coding RNA. The record is from RefSeq and is a predicted model, not a curated record. NCBI's taxonomy places the organism in Eukaryota, Viridiplantae, Streptophyta, Magnoliopsida, Ericales, Theaceae.